CUUCGAGAUGGGACUAGCCAUGCUAGUCGCGCGCGUCCAACCAUGAGGACGAGCGGCAGACCGCUCAGUAACACGUAGCUAACCUACCCUCGGGUCGUGAACACCCCCGGGAAACUGGGGCUAAUUCGCGAUAGAUAUGAAGGCCUGGAAUGGUUUCAUGCCCAAAUGCACAACGAUCAUGUUCGUCGUGUGCCCGAGGAUGGGGCUGCGGCCGAUCAGGCAGUUGGCGAGGUGACGGCUCACCAAACCUUUGACCGGUACGGGCCAUGAAAGUGGUAGCCCGGAGAUGGGUACUGAGACAAGGACCCAGGCCCUACGGGGCGCAGCAGUCGCGAAAACUUUGCAAUAAGCGCAAGCUUGACAGGGCUAUCCCGAGUGCCAUCCGCUGAGGAAGGCUUUUACCCAGUCUAGAACGCUGGGAGAAUAAGGAGAGGGCAAGUCUGGUGUCAGCCGCCGCGGUAAUACCAGCUCUCCGAGUGGUGUGGNAUGUUUAUUGGGCCUAAAGCAUCCGUAGCUGGCUAA
RNAcentral lists this ribosomal RNA (522 nucleotides) under uncultured crenarchaeote. RNAcentral's name for it is "bacterial SSU rRNA". It matches the Rfam family "Archaeal small subunit ribosomal RNA", at positions 30 to 532 of the family's 1478-position model. Lineage: Archaea; Thermoproteati; Thermoproteota. The record is from RNAcentral.